GACGAACGCUGGCGGCGUGCUUAACACAUGCAAGUCGAACGGUAAGGCUCCAGCUUGCUGGGGUACACGAGUGGCGAACGGGUGAGUAACACGUGGGUGACCUGCCCUGCACUUCGGGAUAAGCCUGGGAAACUGGGUCUAAUACCGGAUAGGACCGCACCGUGAGGGUGUGGUGGAAAGUUUUUUCGGUGUGGGAUGGGCCCGCGGCCUAUCAGCUUGUUGGUGGGGUAAUGGCCUACCAAGGCGGCGACGGGUAGCCGGCCUGAGAGGGUGGACGGCCGCAUUGGGACUGAGACACGGCCCAGACUCCUACGGGAGGCAGCAGUGGGGAAUAUUGCACAAUGGGCGGAAGCCUGAUGCAGCGACGCCGUGUGGGGGAUGACGGCCUUCGGGUUGUAAACUCCUUUCACCAUCGACGAAGGGUUUCUGACGGUAGAUGGAGAAGAAGCACCGGCUAACUACGUGCCAGCAGCCGCGGUAAUACGUAGGGUGCGAGCGUUGUCCGGAAUUACUGGGCGUAAAGAGCUCGUAGGUGGUUUGUCGCGUCGUCUGUGAAAUUCCGGGGCUUAACUCCGGGCGUGCAGGCGAUACGGGCAUAACUUGAGUACUGUAGGGGAGACUGGAAUUCCUGGUGUAGCGGUGAAAUGCGCAGAUAUCAGGAGGAACACCGGUGGCGAAGGCGGGUCUCUGGGCAGUAACUGACGCUGAGGAGCGAAAGCAUGGGGAGCGAACAGGAUUAGAUACCCUGGUAGUCCAUGCCGUAAACGGUGGGCGCUAGGUGUGGGUUUCCUUCCACGGGAUCCGUGCCGUAGCUAACGCAUUAAGCGCCCCGCCUGGGGAGUACGGCCGCAAGGCUAAAACUCAAAGGAAUUGACGGGGGCCCGCACAAGCGGCGGAGCAUGUGGAUUAAUUCGAUGCAACGCGAAGAACCUUACCCGGGCUUGACAUAUACAGGAUCGCGCCAGAGAUGGUGUUUCCCUUGUGGCUUGUAUACAGGUGGUGCAUGGUUGUCGUCAGCUCGUGUCGUGAGAUGUUGGGUUAAGUCCCGCAACGAGCGCAACUCUUGUCUUAUGUUGCCAGCACGUUGUGGUGGGGACUCGUAAGAAACUGCCGGGGUUAACUCGGAGGAAGGUGGGGAUGACGUCAAAUCAUCAUGCCCCUUAUGUCCAGGGCUUCACACAUGCUACAAUGGUCGGUACAGUGGGUUGCCAGUCCGUGAGGGCGAGCUAAUCCCGCAAAGCCGGUCUCAGUUCGGAUCGGGGUCUGCAACUCGACCCCGUGAAGUCGGAGUCGCUAGUAAUCGCAGAUCAGCAACGCUGCGGUGAAUACGUUCCCGGGCCU
This 1341-nucleotide ribosomal RNA is filed under the name uncultured bacterium. RNAcentral describes it as "16S ribosomal RNA". It matches the Rfam family "Bacterial small subunit ribosomal RNA", at positions 28 to 1381 of the family's 1533-position model. The record is from RNAcentral.